RNAcentral lists this long non-coding RNA (3174 nucleotides) under Lactuca sativa (garden lettuce). Its description in RNAcentral is "long non-coding RNA (LSAT_LNC002673)". Lineage: Eukaryota; Viridiplantae; Streptophyta; Magnoliopsida; Asterales; Asteraceae. The record is from RNAcentral.
CGCUUUCACAGUGACCAUAAUUAAAUUCACACAUAAUUAAGUCAUAAUAUUGCAGAAAUAAUGAAAUACCUUAUUUUUAAUAAAACCACUAAACUGUACCUUUUCCAUUUACGUUUCAACAGGAUAUAGUAGUAAUCUAAGACUAGCUUCACCUUUUAACAGAUUCUCGGUUGGAUAGUUUUUUGUUCCUGAUCAUUAUUCAUAAAAAUUAUACUUAGACACAACCAUUACAUUUUACACAUAAUAGUUGCAUAUUUACAUAUAAUAGCAGUGUACUUACAAUUCUUUAUAGAUAAUAGCCAUAAAUAACAAAUGAAAUACAUCUCUGUUGGAAUUCUUUACUCAUAAUAGAAAAAUACUAAAGUUCUUUACCCAUAAUUGCAACAUACUUAUAGUUAUUACAUAUUGUUGUCCUCGUCUUGUUAGCAACAUGUGUUGUGGAUUUCAUCUCCCAACAUCGUCCAUAAUAUCCCAUUGCUCCGGUACAUAAUUAAAAUACUAAUUAUUGGCAAUAGUGUAACCAAAAUAAGGAAAAAUGCAGUAAUGUGCUACAAAGAAAAGUUACCGACCGAUUCGACCUACUUUUGCUUUUGGAUUUUUGCUCCUUUCAAUCACCUAAAAGACGAUUAAAAUAAAAAAAUGAUCAAUUAAAACAUGGAAUAAUAGCAUGUAAAAGAGAAAGCAUUUUUACUAAUUACAUUAAUUUUGGUAAUGAAGAAAAUGGUCAUUUUUGUCAAAAGGACAAAGUUGGUCAACGUGGUCAACAUGACCAUUUUAGUCAUUUUCCCAUAUGAAGCUAGAAAAGGGGACCAUUUCUUUAAAUCUGACUAUACCGAGGGACUAAUUUUGUAGAGGAGACCAUUUCUGUAAAUUCCCUAUUAGGUAGGUGCCAUUUUGAUAUUUUUAUGAAACACAUGAAAAUUUUCUAUAACUUUCAAUCAAAGUUUUAUCUAGAAUAGCAUUGUACUUUGUAAGUAUGAUGGUUUAAUAAGCAAAAAAUUAUAAAAAAAUAAGUUGGUAAACUAUCGUCCAAGCAAUCUAUACACACAUACACAGAUUGAUCAUUCCAAAAAUACCUAAAACACCUUUAAAGUUAAAAACUUUGAAUUCAAAUAUAAUAAUAAAAAAUCUGAUCACGUGUAACAUAGAUUUAAUUAUAAUUUUGGUAUUGAUAUAUAAAUAAAAUAAAAAACAUGUGUACAUACAAUUUGUAAGCACUGCAACCUUACCUUCUAUAUGCUUUGUUUGUAAUUCUCUACCCUACCCUAGCCCAUAUAACUCCAAGAAAAUCUACAUGGCAGUAAAUAAAGGCAGUUUAGUAAUUUUACUUUGUUCGAUGUUCUUGGAUAGAUGAGCAAAUAGGAAGCUCAUAAAAGGGUAUCUGGUGAAAGUAACUACCUUUGUAUUCAUUAGUUCAGAUCAGAUAUAUCAGAUAGAAUUAUGCUUUGUAUUAAAAACUUGGUUAUUUGAUUUGAAAAAUCCCAAAUCUUCACCUGCAAAACAGAUGUAAUCAUUUAAUAACAUCGAAAAGACUCGAAAAAAGGUCAAAGGUCAAAGAAAAAAUUGUCGAACGUCAAUCACUAAUCAAGACUUCACAUUGAAUAUUUGGCAGGAUUUAUCAAAAGCACCAAUCCCAUUGCCCUAAAUGACAACAAAGAGUAGAAGACAUGAUACAAAUAGUCAUAUCUACAACAAGAAGAAAAUAGCUAUAUCACCUUUUGUCAAAUCUUUACAACUAUUGAAUUUCUUGCUCAAAAGUGUUUGGGUUUUCUAGUUAUGCCACUGUUAGAAAAUUUUAUUUCUCACAUGUUCCAAUAUGGCCUUCACUCAAACUACCGUAAAAUUGUUUUAUUAGACUCAUAUAUAAAUGCUAUGAAUUUACAAAUUUAAAAAAUGACAACAUACUUGGCCACUUAGGCAACAUACUUUCAUUUAAUUGUUUAGUAUAGAAUUGUGGUUUUCAUCAUCGACAUAAUGAUUUUCAAUGUACAAAAUUUUAAUAGUACUUGAGAUUAUAGAUAACUGAAUACCAAAACAUGUGGAGCAAAGAAUCACACAUAGUAGCUAAGUUGGGAUCAACUCCUAUGCAAUGCCAGAUUUGGACCCUUUAGAACAUGCUCUGUUAACUCAACCAACGAAGCUAGUAAAAGCUAUCGUAAUCCUGUUAUAAUAUCAGUUUUUUUUUUCUAGUACUUAACCCAUAAAGCUCACUAAUCUAAAAGGAAACAACCUCAUAAUCUGUUAUUCAAAGAGAAGAAAACAAACAUUUUCUAUUACACAUACAUCUAGAUUACUUCCAUUUCCUAAGUCAUUAAACAAGCAGAACAUAUAGCUUUCGUUGACAACCUCAUUCCUUCAUCCCUCUAUUAAAAAGUUAAAAUAGUUUCCUGUAGUCAGAAAAACACCCUUUCAUGGAAGAUAUCAAGUCGUACAUGAAGCAAGUGAAAUAAAUAAACCCAUUAACAGUGCAUUAAGAAAAAUUAGAUUUUUUAGGAAGUGAAAUAAAUAAACCCAACAAAAAAUUAGGGUCUUACAGGAUAGAGCCUUUGUUCUUCAUCCACUUCAAACAAUUAACAAUACAUUCAGCAAAAUUAGGUUUUUUUAGACUACUGAUCCAGAACAAAAAUAUAAAAACAAAUGGUGUUUCAAUUACUUUCAACUUCCUAAUUUAAUGCAGGAGCGAAGCAGUUGGUUAUACAGAGCGUCCAAUUGAUCGGCGAUACCUUGAUGAGAACUAAGAAUGAAAUCGAUUUGAGGUAUUAGGAAAUUGAUUUAAUACUUGAGAAGGAGAAGUCGAUGGUGGUUUCUUCUAUGGCAGUAAGCUGAGGUGGAGCUAAAAUGGAGCGGAAGGGCCUGGGUUUGGUGGCGAUUGUAGCCAUGAACGGUCGACAUGUGGGGAAAAUGUUGGAAGAAGAAAAAACCUGGAGCGGAAUCCGAGGAAUCAUUUCUCGGUUUUAUUUUUGAAAUAUUAAUUUUGGGUUUCUUAUUCGCUACAUUCCAACCAAAUACCCUCAAUCUUCUUCUCCUACGUUUAAUCAGACCUUCAAUCGAUAGAAAAUAAAUACGUGAUCGGAAAGAACAGUGGGAUGGCAAAAGAGAAUAGAAAGGGCAUUUGAUAGGAUAUGCGGUGGAAAAUUCCAGAAACUCGCUAAGAUAAACAUAAAAUAAUUGAAC